This 474-nucleotide long non-coding RNA is filed under the name Monodelphis domestica (gray short-tailed opossum). Its description in RNAcentral is "lncRNA (ENSMODG00000041664.1)". The record is from RNAcentral. Lineage: Eukaryota; Metazoa; Chordata; Mammalia; Didelphimorphia; Didelphidae.
GUGAGGCUGAUGACUAUGCAACUCUGCCUCAGUUAAAUCCAAAUCACGUACAAGUGAAGACAUCUAUCACCCCAUUGUCACUGGCCCUCUUUGAAAACAAAGAUGCUGUUAUUAUCCUAAUUUUAUGGAUAAGGAAAUGGAAUCACAGAGUGGUGCCUAAUGAAUGCUCUUUUGAUGGAUUCACACUGGAUUUAAAAAUGGAUGAACCUACAGGACAGGGAAGCCAGGAGGGCUGUAGCUGCAAGGAUCUCCAGAGAGAGACAGGAGGCAACAUAUUUCAGCAAGGCUAAAUUCAUAAGAGAUUCUCCAAGAAUGGUUGCUCCUAGCAACUCCAGAAGAAGAGAGAGAAGAUAAGCAGUUGGGAAAAGUUGAAAGAGACCCAGAAUCAGAGAACAAAGACUACAAGUAUUUGAAGGUCUCCUGCAUUGUGUGGAUUGUGUGUGUCUUUAAUAAUAAAUUUUAUUUUGUCUUCCA